Octopus sinensis (East Asian common octopus) is the source of this 73-nucleotide non-coding RNA. NCBI's taxonomy places the organism in Eukaryota, Metazoa, Mollusca, Cephalopoda, Octopoda, Octopodidae. The record is from the annotation of a RefSeq genome assembly.
GCCCAGCUAGCUCAGUCGGUAGAGCACGAGACUCUUAAUCUUGGAGUCAUGGAUUCAAGCCCCAUGCUGGGUG